RNAcentral lists this ribosomal RNA (381 nucleotides) under uncultured bacterium. RNAcentral's name for it is "bacterial SSU rRNA". It matches the Rfam family "Bacterial small subunit ribosomal RNA", at positions 28 to 402 of the family's 1533-position model. The record is from RNAcentral.
GACGAACGCUGGCGGCGUGCUUAACACAUGCAAGUGGAGCGACGAACCGGGGCUUGCCCCGGGGCAGAGCCGCGAACGGGUGAGUAACACGUGGGUAACCCACCCCGAUGAUUGGGACAACCCGAGGAAACUCGGGCUAAUACCAAAUGUGCCCUUGGUCCAUGAGGACCUCGAGUAAAGAUAGCUUCGGCCUUCGCAUCGGGACGGGCCCGCGGCCCAUUAGCUUGUUGGUGAGGUAACGGCUCACCAAGGCGACGAUGGGUAGCUGGUCUGAGAGGACGAUCAGCCACACUGGGACUGAGACACGGCCCAGACUCCUACGGGAGGCAGCAGUGGGGAAUCUUGCGCAAUGCGCGAAAGCGUGACGCAGCAACGCCGCGU